Molecule: ribosomal RNA, 391 nt
Filed under: uncultured bacterium
Lineage: Bacteria
Description: partial 16S ribosomal RNA
Rfam family: Bacterial small subunit ribosomal RNA
Source: RNAcentral
AUACGGAGGAUCCGAGCGUUAUCCGGAUUUAUUGGGUUUAAAGGGUGCGCAGGCGGCCAUUUAAGUCAGCGGUUAAAUCGUGGGGCUCAACCCCAUCUGCCGUUGAUACUGGGUGGCUUGAUUGCGGUCGAGGUUGGCGGAAUUCGUUGUGUAGCGGUGAAAUGCAUAGAUAUGACGAAGAACACCGAUUGCGUAGGCAGCUGACCAGACCGCAAAUGACGCUCAUGCACGAAAGUGCGGGGAUCGAACAGGAUUAGAUACCCUGGUAGUCCGCACAGUAAACGAUGAAUACUUGUUUUCGGCGAUAUAAUGUCGGAGGCAAAGCGAAAGCGAUAAGUAUUCCACCUGGGGAGUACGCCGGCAACGGUGAAACUCAAAUGAAUUGGCGGGG